CCCGCCCGCCCCGGGCUCCGCGCUCCCCCGGCUCCGUCCUCGCUCACUUCCGGGAGCGGCUUCCCGGGGCCCACUGGUCUCAGCGGGUUGUUGUUGUGUUUUUUUUUUUCCUCUCGGUGUUUGGCGCUUUUCCCCGCCUUCCUCACCCGGAUUCAACCCUCGAGGCUGGAUCCCGGGGGGCGUCGGGAGGGCCGGCGGCGGGUGGGCGCGGAGUGCGGGGUCGCCGCCACUGCGCGCGCCGCGCCUCGGGGGGAACUAGAAUGCGUUCGGGAGCUGCCUGCCGGGCCCCGGGCACCCCCGGUGCCUGGCACUCCGCGGGCGCUCAAUAAAUAUUUGUUGAAUGAAUGAGCAGUUGACUACCGCGUUCACCCCCUGGAGCUUUAACUGACACCGAGAGGACCGGAAGCCGGGCUCCAGGGCGGACGCGACCUCCCGGGGCCACCGUUGAUAGCUUUCAAAGCGGGCGUGUUUGUCUCCGGAGCCCCACUGUAUAUGCUUCAGGCCCCAGAGACCUUGGAUCCUGUCCCUGGGUGUGAUAGACAAGGACUUAAUCACCUUUAGGGAUUCCUCAGUGAUUCCUCCACGUGGACCCCUAGGAGCUGAAGCGUUUGCAUUAUAGAAUGGGGACUUCGCAAAGUCUGUAGGUGGCUUCUCAUGAUCUGAUGACUUUCUGUGGACCAGGAGAACCACGUACCAGUGACAGAUCCCAGGGAAGGGCUCCAGCUCCAUGGAGGACAGCAAGGGUCAUCGCCAUGCCAACCACGGGAAUAGAAGGUCCAAACACUUCUGCCUAUUGCAUUUUGGUAUCAAGGCGGCCACGGACGGACAGCACGAAGAAAACAAUGCUUUCCUUACAUAGAAGGGGGACAGAGCAAGAUUAGGUUCAAUAGUGUGCCAGCAGCUCUCUCCUGGCAGUGACACAGGGCAGUUGGGCUAUGCUAACCCUCUGUGUGCAGUUGAGCAAACUCUGUUCCUUUCUCGUGGAGGACAGAUAUAACGAUGGGGUUGGCCAGGAGCCACUUGGACACACAAGCUUUAAGCAGAGACAAAAGAGUACUUAUUGAAUCUGAAACAAGAGAAGAUAUUCUCACACAGGGUGAUAAGCCUGCCCAGACCAUGUGGGCUCUUUAUCUCUUGGUGUUCCAGGCCCAAGGCCUGUUCCUAUGCAACAGAUGGGGGGGUAGAAAGACUGCACGCACGAGGCUGCCUUCCCCAACGCUAAUAACACAAAGAACACAGGCUUGUAUACCCUCCUAAAGAUGCACAUUGAAAUGGUAGACUAGGUCAAGGACAACUGCAAUAAAAUCCUUGUUUGGAAAAGAAACGAAUUGUAAACGCCAGCAACAGUGCUCCAUAGCAUUGAUUAAUUCUUGCAGGGCCAAUUGUGAAGGCUCCUGGCCUUAGCAGUAGAGUGACUGUUAGUGCAGACCUCUGGGACGACUCUCUCUCCAUCCCCUAGUUUUAUACUGAAGUAGAUACCCAGACAGUCUGGCACAGACCCUUAAAGUCUGGGUCAUAUGGACAGCCCGUUUCUUGCCGGUGCAGGACAUGCUGGGCCCCUCUUCAAGGGAAACAGACGAAAGUCUAAUUGAAUCAUUCCAUCUGGGUCAAAGCCCAGGGCCUUGCAUUGAUACACGGUCUUUUGCACGGUGUGUCGGAGGCUUUCUCAUCUGGCUAGGAAGUAGCACCUGCCAUUCCUCUUCCCAUCUCAGUGGCUAGAACUUUCCGUGUGGACACAACUGGCUACAAGAGAACAGGAUACGUAGACCUGAGCUAAGUAGCUCUGUCCUCACCUAAAACUUAGGAGUUCUAUUACUAAAGAACUAAAGAACGUAAAUGAAGGAUACUUGUGAGCAAUUCGUCUAUCUCGGCCACACACAUGAUGUCUCUCUUCCACACCACACUGGUCCAGUCGUGGAACUCAGCUUCCAAGGCGUGCACGCGCAUGCACACAUGCACACACGCACACACAACCCACACACACGCACACUUCUAGAAAGCUUUCGUUGGUGAUAACAGACUACUCAGUUUGGGAGGAGAGAUGGUGUCUAUGUCACAAAUGAUGAAAGUUAUAAUAAACACGCCUUCCUCAUUCUUUAAAGAGCCUCAUCCCUUUCACUCUGUUCCUCAGCCCCCCCCCCCCCUUCUGCUUUUCUCUUUACUUUGCCUGCUCUGUACUUCAGAUUUGCUCCUCAGCCUUAUUGCUGGGUACUUUAGAUUCCUUUCUGUGUACUUGGCUAUUCUAAUUGCCCUGACAGUCUCAUUUCCACCCAAAUGACAUUGCUAAGGGAUUUUGCUAAAGAGAGACAGUUCUUAAAAAACAAAAACAAAAACAAAAA
Molecule: long non-coding RNA, 2339 nt
Organism: Lynx canadensis (Canada lynx)
Lineage: Eukaryota; Metazoa; Chordata; Mammalia; Carnivora; Felidae
Exons: 4
Source: RefSeq, a predicted model, not a curated record